UACGAAGGGGGCUAGCGUUGCUCGGAAUCACUGGGCGUAAAGGGUGCGUAGGCGGGUCUUUAAGUCAGGGGUGAAAUCCUGGAGCUCAACUCCAGAACUGCCUUUGAUACUGAAGAUCUCGAGUCCGGGAGAGGUGAGUGGAACUGCGAGUGUAGAGGUGAAAUUCGUAGAUAUUCGCAAGAACACCAGUGGCGAAGGCGGCUCACUGGCCCGAUACUGACGCUGAUGCACGAAAGCGUGGGGAGCAAACAGG
Molecule: ribosomal RNA, 253 nt
Filed under: uncultured bacterium
Lineage: Bacteria
Description: partial 16S ribosomal RNA
Rfam family: Bacterial small subunit ribosomal RNA
Source: RNAcentral